This 527-nucleotide ribosomal RNA is filed under the name uncultured Halomicrobium sp. RNAcentral's name for it is "bacterial SSU rRNA". It matches the Rfam family "Archaeal small subunit ribosomal RNA", at positions 1 to 525 of the family's 1478-position model. Lineage: Archaea; Methanobacteriati; Methanobacteriota; Halobacteria; Halobacteriales; Haloarculaceae. The record is from RNAcentral.
AUUCCGGUUGAUCCUGACCGGAGGCCAUUGACUAUCGGAGUCCGAUUUAGCCAUGCUAGUCGUGCGAGUUCAGACUCGCGGCACCGAGCUCAGUAACACGUGGCCAAACUACCCUACAGAGACGGAUACCCUCGGGAAACUGAGGUUAACCCGUCAUACCGAUCUCAGGCUUGAAUCGCAGAGAUCACAAAACGCCCCGGCGCUGUAGGAUGUGGCUGCGGUUGAUUAGGUAGACGGUGGGGUAACGGCCCACCGUGACCCAUAAUCAGUACAGGUUGUGAGAGCAAGAACCUGGAGACGGAAUCUGAGACAAGAUUCCGGGCCCUACGGGGCGCAGCAGGCGCGAAACCUUUACACUGCACGCACGUGCGAUAAGGGGACUCCGAGUGCGAGGGCAUAUCGUCCUCGCUUUCGUGUACCGUAGGGUGGUACACCAACAAGGGCUGGGCAAGACCGGUGCCAGCCGCCGCGGUAAUACCGGCAGCCCGAGUGAUGGCCGAUCUUAUUGGGCCUAAAGCGUCCGUACU